Aphis gossypii (cotton aphid) is the source of this 530-nucleotide long non-coding RNA. RefSeq lists it as uncharacterized. The transcript has 3 exons. NCBI's taxonomy places the organism in Eukaryota, Metazoa, Arthropoda, Insecta, Hemiptera, Aphididae. The record is from RefSeq and is a predicted model, not a curated record.
UAUUGAUAAAUAUAAAAAAGAGAAUGAUGAACUCAAAAAUGAGCAAAUUAAAUUAAAACAAAUUAUUUCUACUCAACAAUUACAAAUAUUAAAACUUGAAGAUAAUAUCAUAAAAUGGACAGCGUUUUCAACACACGUGUUCACUCAGUAUUUUCAAAAUUAUUUACUCCUACACAAAUUGAUGCUAUUUUGAAUGGUAACAAAAAAUUUAUAAAUGGACUCCAGAAGAUAUAGCUUCUGCAAUAUCGUUGAGAAGUGUAUCUCCAAAGGCCUAUAGGUAUUUAAGGGAAAAGAGACAGUUUCCGUUGCCAGGCUUAUCAACUCUCAGGACAUGGGCAAGUCAUUUUUCAGUAGAUACUGGAGUCUUGACAAAUGUAUUAACUUUGAUGAAAGUAAAAGGAGAAACUCUAACUGAUAAUGAUAAACUGACAGUAAUCUCGUUUGACGAAACGUAUGUAACAAAAAGAAUUUGUUAUGAUAAAAAAAUGAACAAAUGAUUGGUCCACAUAAAUGUGUUCAAGUUCUUGUUG